UGCUAAUACUGCAAGUCGAACGCUUCUUUCCUCCCGAGUGCUUGCACUCAAUUGGAAAGAGGAGUGGCGGACGGGUGAGUAACACGUGGGUAACCUACCCAUCAGAGGGGGAUAACACUUGGAAACAGGUGCUAAUACCGCAUAACAGUUUAUGCCGCAUGGCAUAAGAGUGAAAGGCGCUUUCGGGUGUCGCUGAUGGAUGGACCCGCGGUGCAUUAGCUAGUUGGUGAGGUAACGGCUCACCAAGGCCACGAUGCAUAGCCGACCUGAGAGGGUGAUCGGCCACACUGGGACUGAGACACGGCCCAGACUCCUACGGGAGGCAGCAGUAGGGAAUCUUCGGCAAUGGACGAAAGUCUGACCGAGCAACGCCGCGUGAGUGAAGAAGGUUUUCGGAUCGUAAAACUCUGUUGUUAGAGAAGAACAAGGACGUUAGUAACUGAACGUCCCCUGACGGUAUCUAACCAGAAAGCCACGGCUAACUACGUGCCAGCAGCCGCGGUAAUACGUAGGUGGCAAGCGUUGUCCGGAUUUAUUGGGCGUAAAGCGAGCGCAGGCGGUUUCUUAAGUCUGAUGUGAAAGCCCCCGGCUCAACCGGGGAGGGUCAUUGGAAACUGGGAGACUUGAGUGCAGAAGAGGAGAGUGGAAUUCCAUGUGUAGCGGUGAAAUGCGUAGAUAUAUGGAGGAACACCAGUGGCGAAGGCGGCUCUCUGGUCUGUAACUGACGCUGAGGCUCGAAAGCGUGGGGAGCAAACAGGAUUAGAUACCCUGGUAGUCCACGCCGUAAACGAUGAGUGCUAAGUGUUGGAGGGUUUCCGCCCUUCAGUGCUGCAGCAAACGCAUUAAGCACUCCGCCUGGGGAGUACGACCGCAAGGUUGAAACUCAAAGGAAUUGACGGGGGCCCGCACAAGCGGUGGAGCAUGUGGUUUAAUUCGAAGC
This 940-nucleotide ribosomal RNA is filed under the name Enterococcus sp. enrichment culture clone PTmrs18. RNAcentral's name for it is "bacterial SSU rRNA". It matches the Rfam family "Bacterial small subunit ribosomal RNA", at positions 45 to 957 of the family's 1533-position model. Lineage: Bacteria; Bacillati; Bacillota; Bacilli; Lactobacillales; Enterococcaceae. The record is from RNAcentral.